This 431-nucleotide ribosomal RNA is filed under the name uncultured bacterium. RNAcentral's name for it is "bacterial SSU rRNA". It matches the Rfam family "Bacterial small subunit ribosomal RNA", at positions 355 to 796 of the family's 1533-position model. The record is from RNAcentral.
UCGAGGAUCUUCGGCAAUGGGCGCAAGCCUGACCGAGCGACGCCGCGUGCGGGAUGAAGGCCUUCGGGUUGUAAACCGCUGUCGAGGGGGAGAAAAGCGCAAGCUUGAUCUAUCCCUGGAGGAAGCACGGGCUAAGUUCGUGCCAGCAGCCGCGGUAAGACGAACCGUGCAAACGUUGUUCGGAAUCACUGGGCUUAAAGGGCGCGUAGGCGGUUCGCCAAGUCUGGGGUGAAAUCUUUCGGCUCAACCGGAAAAUUGCCUGGGAUACUGGCGGGCUGGAGGGGGGUAGGGGUAGCGGGAACUUCCAGUGGAGCGGUGAAAUGCGUUGAUAUUGGAAGGAACGCCGGUGGCGAAAGCGCGUUACUGGACCUCUUCUGACGCUGAUGCGCGAAAGCUAGGGGAGCAAACGGGAUUAGAUACCCCCGUAGUCC